This 75-nucleotide transfer RNA is filed under the name Dactylosporangium sucinum. RNAcentral's name for it is "tRNA-Met". The record is from RNAcentral. Lineage: Bacteria; Bacillati; Actinomycetota; Actinomycetes; Micromonosporales; Micromonosporaceae.
CGCAGGCUGAGCGUUCGGCUGCUCGGUCGCCCCUCAUAAGGGCGAAGUGCCCGGUUCGACACCGGGGCCUGCGAC